This is a long non-coding RNA of Paramisgurnus dabryanus, 991 nucleotides long. RefSeq lists it as uncharacterized. Lineage: Eukaryota; Metazoa; Chordata; Actinopteri; Cypriniformes; Cobitidae. The record is from RefSeq and is a predicted model, not a curated record.
CAAACCCCCACUGUGUACUGGACGAAGGACACGCGAUCUUUUGUCUUGUGGAGUUUUAUAUAACACAGUAAGUAAGAGAAGCAACAUGCAUGACGGGGAUGAUAAAAUAAUCAAUAAGAAGUUUGAAUCUUUAAAAAUAAAUGAAUGCUGAACCCCAAAGAAGCCAACCAAAGAUGAGAUGUUUUCUGUACCAAACCACAAAUCACCAUUUGCUGGUAAUCAUAACAGAUAGCCAAAAGUCAUGUACCACACUUUGUCAACAAUAAAUGUUGUUUCUGCAAUCUGGAUAAAGAAUAAUAUAUUACUGCCUCUUGGAGAACAGCCGACCGUACUUCAGACAGAGACAAAGACGUGAGGACAUCCAGUGCUUUUAAGUCAUGUACCACACUUUGUCAACAAUGCAUGUUGUUCCUGCAAUCUGGAUGAAGAAUAAUAUAUUACUGCCUCUUGGGAAAACAGCAGACUGUACUCCAGACAGAGACAAAGACCUGAAGACAUCCAUUGCUUUUAAGUCCUAUACCAGACUAUGUUGUUCCAGCUGUCUGGGUAAUGACUGAUACAUUACUACCUCUUGGAGAACAGCAAACCAUUCUCCAGACAGAGACAAAGACAUGGACAUCAAAACAGAAAAUAAAGUACUUGAUCUUGGAUUGUUUGGGGUGAGCGCUGGCAAAUAAUGAAGCAGGAAAUGAAAAUGGCUGUAAGAAGUCCUUUGUGUGCACAGACAUGACUGGAGAUUAAAGUUACUAAAUGUUGCUUUUUUUCUAGCUGGUGACAUAACAUUGUAUUAUUUUCAAAUGUAUUUAUCUAACACACAUUUACACAUCUGUAAACAUUCAUUUUAUAUUGCAUGUUUUUUAUAUUUAACCAAUUGUUGUAUAUUGCUUUCUGUUAUUACAUCUGUUUUUUAUUGCAUGUUUAUUGUUUAAAACAAUUAAGUUAAUGUUUCUCUGUUAGCUUUUAUGUUACUUUGGCUAUUUCUUUGCUUUUA